This 435-nucleotide ribosomal RNA is filed under the name uncultured bacterium. RNAcentral describes it as "partial 16S ribosomal RNA". It matches the Rfam family "Bacterial small subunit ribosomal RNA", at positions 28 to 507 of the family's 1533-position model. The record is from RNAcentral.
GAUGAACGCUGGCGGUAUGCUUAACACAUGCAAGUCGAACGGACUCUUCGGAGUUAGUGGCGGACGGGUGAGUAACGCGUGAGAAUCUGGCUUUGGGUUCGGGACAACCACUGGAAACGGUGGCUAAUACCGGAUGUGCCGAGAGGUAAAAGAGAAAUUGCCUGAAGAUGAGCUCUCGUCUGAUUAGCUAGUUGGUGAGUUAAAGGCUCACCAAGGCAGCGAUCAGUAGCUGGUCUGAGAGGAUGACCAGCCACACGGGGACUGAGACACGGCCCAGACUCCUACGGGAGGCAGCAGUGGGGAAUUUUCCGAAAUGGGCGAAAGCCUGACGGAGAAAUACCGAGUGAGGGAAGAAGGCUCUUGGGUUGUAAACCUCUUUUCUUAGGGAAGAACAAAAUGACGGUACCUAAGGAAUCAGCAUCGGCUAACUCCGUG